AAAAAAAAAAAAAAGCGUGUGCAUGUACUAACACGUGAACACAUGCACACAUACACACAAAUGAAGACCAGAGUGACCAGGGCAACAGUAUUUUUAAUCUUCUCCUGAAGGUCAGGUCCAGAUGCCACUUUUGUCAACAACACAGCUUUGUGUCCCAGCAAAGGAACUUCUCACACAUCUGCCUGGCAUUUGGCAGAAGGUAACCUCUGAGGCAAUCAGAUUUUAACAAGCCCAUUCACGUAGAAAGUUGCUUUCUUUUUUGGUUCAUCCCCAGAAGUACUUCCUUCCCCACCACCUCCCAUCCCCCACAGCAAAGGACUUAGCCUUAGCCUGGCUAUCACUAUAAAAUGGCCCCUCUGAGGGGCCUCCUUCCUCUCAGCUAUUGGAGGAAGGAGAGUAUUUGGAGCAUUUCCGGCCCUUCUUGGCCGGCUGCCUGAACCCUGCAGCCAAGACACAUUUGACUGGGACUCCCCCAUGGAGAGAAGUCCUCCCAGGUCCUCUGCAAGGGGCAUCUGUGCUUUGGCUAUGGACAUACCCUAAAGUGCCAGGUGGAUGGAAGAGCUCCUGGGACCAGCAGGUUGGGAGCAUCAAUUCACGUUGGCUAGAAAUGUGACUUCUUUAGUAUUUACCAUUUUAACAAAAUCCAUGAUAAGUGAUUUGGAAGGUCCCACGGAGAGGAUGAAAUGACACCUUUCUGUUACCCAGUUUCUUUAAGACCUCCAUGGUUGAGAAGAGAGGACAAAGGAACACCCCCACCUCUGCCAUCCUCCGAGGGAUUUUUCACAGCAAUUCCAGUGCUGCUCAGUGGAAAGCUCCGCAAGUCAACUGCAAACCCCCGGCCCCAGACGUUAGACAUUUACAAACUUUGUUGCUGAUUUAUCAGCACUCUUCUGCGAUUUUGGGGGCAGGAGCAAACACAAGCUUAAGUCACCACACAGGCUCCAACCCUUACCCCAAGAUGGGGGAAAAACUCCAAAGGAGAUGCAGGAGGGAGCCUCAGCAGUCACUGUGAGAGCACAAAGAGGCCAAGACCCAGGGUAGGCAAAGGAAGGUGAGAGGCACCAGCAGGGCAGGAGGAGGAGUCAGCUGUAAACAUGGAGGCUUCCCGCCCCCCACAUAGCAAGCUAUGGAAGGAAGCUUCCAGCAAGAUUCAUGUCUAAGCUUUUCAAGUUAAAGUCUUGGCUACAUCUACAAUGAAGGGUGCCUGAACAACUUCUUGAGGGAAUAAGGCAGAAUUUCCCCUUUAUGCGGAUAACAAAAGAGCUAGCCACCCUGAGAACUUGCCACAUCCCAAUUUUCAGAGAUGGUCAGUCUCUCAGAAGAAUCCUGGCGAUCAGCUAUCAGAACCUGUCCAGUUCCGCAUGUGAGAAGGUAAUCCAAGGCAUCAUCGAGAGGAAGGGGCAUCAGGAUUCAUGGACAACAAAAAAAUCUCUGAUUCCUCCAAAAGGCGUGUGGGUCAGAGAGCUCCCAAAGAGGCUGCCUCCACCAGUUCUCAUUUCACGUUGGGAGGUUACAGGGUGGGUCUUGUUUUCUUGGCUUUUCCCCAUCUAAUCCAAAAGCCAAGGUCACAACCUCUUAGCAAUGGGGUGACAAUCUCAUAUAGAGCUGCAGUAAACAGCCAUUCUUGCCAAGCUGAUAUUAACAUUUCUUUUUUCUUUUUGAUGUUACACACAAUCCUGUCCUUGCUGUACCAGAAAGCCAUUUCACCCAUCUGUCUGGGAAGAUGAUCCAAUUUUGGUGCUUUUAUCAUCAAUGCUUUCAGCAACUUUGUUCUACUUCCCCUACUGUAAUUACUUUUGAAUCAUCAACACACCCAGACAGCCUUAAACCUCAGAGAACAGAAUGCUAAAAAAGAAAAAAAAAAUCUGCAAUGGCAAGUAACUUCACUAAAUAGCCACCCAAGCUAGGAGCAAUUUGUUUCUUUCCAGAAAUUUACUUAAUAAUAAUAAGUACCUCACACUCCUUCCCCUUUUUCCAAAGGCAGGCAAGGCAUGGAGAUGGGAUGUUAUGGACAGGAGGGAGUGGGGAGAAGGAGGAACUCCAAAAGGAGCUAAUUAAAACGUCUGCUUCCCCAGUCCCCCAGCUUUUGUUUUUUGUUUUGUUUUGAAGAUGUAGGUUUUGUUUGUAAAUGAUGUGGGACUGAGAAAGUUGGCUGAGUGGCUGAUGGGUGCCUAAGCAGCCCAGGAAGAAAGUAUGCCUUCUCUGGAAUGCAAUCAAAUUACAUGGGGAGGGGCUGGGGAGGGGCCGGGCGCGGUGGCUCAGGCCUGUAAUCCCAGCACUUUGGGAGCCUGAAGCGGGCUGAUCACCUCAGGAGUGAAGACCAGCCUGGGCAAUUGGCGAAACCCGUCUGUACUAAAAAUACAAAAAAAUUAGCCAGGCGUGAUGGCGCGCGCCUGUAAUCCCAGCUACUCGGGAGGCUGAGGCAGGAGAAUUGCUUGAAUCUGGGAGGCGGAGGCUGCAGUGAGCUGAGAUCACGCCACUGCACUCUAGCUUGGGCAACAGAGUGAGGCUCCGUCUCAAUUAAAAAAUAAAAAUAAAAAAUUACAUGGGGAGGGACAGACUCAGUGGCUGCUGGCUUAAACCACACACACAAAAAAA
Cercocebus atys (sooty mangabey) is the source of this 2598-nucleotide long non-coding RNA. RefSeq lists it as uncharacterized. Lineage: Eukaryota; Metazoa; Chordata; Mammalia; Primates; Cercopithecidae. The transcript is spliced from 2 exons. The record is from RefSeq and is a predicted model, not a curated record.